Acanthosepion pharaonis is the source of this 88-nucleotide non-coding RNA. The record is from the annotation of a GenBank genome assembly. NCBI's taxonomy places the organism in Eukaryota, Metazoa, Mollusca, Cephalopoda, Sepiida, Sepiidae.
AUUGAAUCACCGGUUCCCUUACGAACACCGAAGUUAAGCAACGUCGAGCAUGGUCAGUAUCUUGAUGGGUGACCGCUUGAGAAUAGCG